Long non-coding RNA from Mastomys coucha (southern multimammate mouse), 532 nucleotides. RefSeq lists it as uncharacterized. The transcript has 5 exons. The record is from RefSeq and is a predicted model, not a curated record. Lineage: Eukaryota; Metazoa; Chordata; Mammalia; Rodentia; Muridae.
GUUCUCUGGGGACACAGAAUACUAUAGGAGUGCUGCAAACACAGAGGCUCUGCCCUUCUUCCAGCCCCAGCCCAGCACAACUUAGCUCUGGCUGCCCCUUCUGUGCAUCAGCUGAAAUUUCCCCCAGGAGAUAGAAUGAGCAUGUGACGAUCAACUACUUGGAGCCAAACAUUUUAUGUCCUCCUGAGUCAACUUGUGAAGCCACAUAUAUGAGACAGGGAGCUGCUAUGUGGAUGUGACUCUUGGAACCGAGGGGCCAUCCUGAGAACCUAGUAGGAACCAGGCUAAUAGGAUAAGCAGGCUAUCUUCAUGGCUAGGAUCGUCCUGAGGCAUCAACAGCAGGUCUUCACAGAUCAUUUUGGACUAUGUGCCUUCCUCUGGACAUUUACGUUCACGAAGAGUUCUAACCCUCUCACCUGGCCAUUGAGAGUCAGAGAGGAAAGAAGCCAGCACUUAUCAGCACAAAUAGUAAGAAACUUACAGACCUAUUAUGCUUAUUAAAGCACAAAUAAUGAAAUUUAAAUGCCAGGGA